AUUGAACGCUGGCGGCAGGCCUAACACAUGCAAGUCGAACGAGUGGCGGACGGGUGAGUAAUGUCUGGGAAACUGCCUGAUGGAGGGGGAUAACUACUGGAAACGGUAUCUAAUACCGCAUACCAUCGGAUGUGCCCAGAUGGGAUUAGCUAGUAGGUGGGGUAAAGUCUCACCUAGGCGACGAUCCCUAGCUGGUCUGAGAGGAUGACCAGCCACACGGGAACUGAGACACGGUCCAGACUCCUACGGGAGGCAGAGGUGGGGAAUAUUGCACAAGGGGCGCAAGCCUGAUGAAGCCAUGCCGCGUGUAUGAAGAAGGCCUUCGGGUUGUAAAGUACUUUCAGCGGGGAGGCGUUACCCGCAGAAGAAGCACCGGCUAACUCCGUGCCAGCAGCCGCGGUAAUAC
Molecule: ribosomal RNA, 406 nt
Filed under: uncultured bacterium
Lineage: Bacteria
Description: partial 16S ribosomal RNA
Rfam family: Bacterial small subunit ribosomal RNA
Source: RNAcentral